GUGGGGAAUCUUGCGCAAUGGGCGAAAGCCUGACGCAGCCAUGCCGCGUGAAUGAUGAAGGUCUUAGGAUUGUAAAAUUCUUUCACCGGGGACGAUAAUGACGGUACCCGGAGAAGAAGCCCCGGCUAACUUCGUGCCAGCAGCCGCGGUAAUACGGAGGAUCCAAGCGUUAUCCGGAUUUAUUGGGUUUAAAGGGUGCGUAGGCGGUAGCUUAAGUCAGUGGUGAAAGUUUGCAGCUCAACUGUAAAAUUGCCAUUGAAACUGGGUUACUUGAGUACGGUAGAGGUAAGCGGAAUGCGUAGUGUAGCGGUGAAAUGCUUAGAUAUUACGCAGAACCCCAAUUGCGAAGGCAGCUUACUGGACCGGUUACUGACGCUGAGGCACGAAAGCGUGGGUAUCAAACAGGAUUAGAAACCCCUGUAGUCC
Molecule: ribosomal RNA, 426 nt
Filed under: uncultured bacterium
Lineage: Bacteria
Description: partial 16S ribosomal RNA
Rfam family: Bacterial small subunit ribosomal RNA
Source: RNAcentral